UGUUGUAGGUGGCUGGCUCCGG
This 22-nucleotide unclassified non-coding RNA is filed under the name Chlamydomonas reinhardtii. RNAcentral describes it as "small RNA Cre_3681". Lineage: Eukaryota; Viridiplantae; Chlorophyta; Chlorophyceae; Chlamydomonadales; Chlamydomonadaceae. The record is from RNAcentral.